ACCUGGUUGAAAUAAAGGUGUUCUCAACUAGCUUACCUGGUUGAAAUAAAGGUGUUCUCAACUAGCUUACCUGGUUGAAAUAAAGGUGUUCUCAACUAGCUUACCUGGUUGAAAUAAAGGUGUUCUCAACUAGCUUACCUGGUUGAAAUAAAGGUGUUCUCAACUAGCUUACCUGGUUGAAAUAAAGGUGUUCUCAACUAGCUUACCUGGUUGAAAUAAAGGUGUUCUCAACUAGCUUACCUGGUUGAAAUAAAGGUGUUCUCAACUAGCUUACCUGGUUGAAAUAAAGGUGUUCUCAACUAGCUUACCUGGUUGAAAUAAAGGUGUUCUCAACUAGCUUACCUGGUUGAAAUAAAGGUGUUCUCAACUAGCUUACCUGGUUGAAAUAA
Molecule: long non-coding RNA, 389 nt
Organism: Oncorhynchus keta (chum salmon)
Lineage: Eukaryota; Metazoa; Chordata; Actinopteri; Salmoniformes; Salmonidae
Exons: 4
Source: RefSeq, a predicted model, not a curated record